Molecule: ribosomal RNA, 469 nt
Filed under: uncultured bacterium
Lineage: Bacteria
Description: partial 16S ribosomal RNA
Rfam family: Bacterial small subunit ribosomal RNA
Source: RNAcentral
GACGAACGCUGGCGGCGUGCUUAACACAUGCAAGUCGAACGGAAAGGCCCUGCUUGCAGGGUGCUCGAGUGGCGAACGGGUGAGUAACACGUGGGUGAUCUGCCCCUUACUUCGGGAUAAGCCUGGGAAACUGGGUCUAAUACUGGAUAGGACCAUGCUGUAGGUGGUGUGGUGGAAAGAUUAGUUUCGGUAAGGGAUGAGCUCGCGGCCUAUCAGCUUGUUGGUGGGGUAAUGGCCUACCAAGGCGUCGACGGGUAGCCGGCCUGAGAGGGUGGACGGCCACAUUGGGACUGAGAUACGGCCCAGACUCCUACGGGAGGCAGCAGUGGGGAAUAUUGCACAAUGGGCGCAAGCCUGAUGCAGCGACGCCGCGUGGGGGAUGACGGCCUUCGGGUUGUAAACUCCUUUCAGCCAUGACGAAGCCCUUGUGGUGACGGUAGUGGUAGAAGAAGCACCGGCUAACUACGUG